RNAcentral lists this ribosomal RNA (570 nucleotides) under uncultured Actinomycetes bacterium. Its description in RNAcentral is "bacterial SSU rRNA". It matches the Rfam family "Bacterial small subunit ribosomal RNA", at positions 838 to 1409 of the family's 1533-position model. Lineage: Bacteria; Bacillati; Actinomycetota; Actinomycetes. The record is from RNAcentral.
UUUCUGCGACGCAGCUAACGCAUUAAGCGCCCCGCCUGGGGAGUACGAUCGCUAGAUUAAAACUCAAAGGAAUUGACGGGGCCCCGCACAAGCAGCGGAGCAUGCGGCUUAAUUCGACGCAACGCGAAGAACCUUACCAAGGCUUGACAUAUACAGGAAUACGGCAGAGAUGUCGUAGCCGCAAGGUCUGUAUACAGGUGGUGCAUGGUUGUCGUCAGCUCGUGUCGUGAGAUGUUGGGUUAAGUCCCGCAACGAGCGCAACCCUCGUUCUGUGUUGCCAGCAUUUAGUUGGGGACUCACAGGAGACUGCCGGGGUUAUCUCGGAGGAAGGUGGGGAUGACGUCAAAUCAUCAUGCCCCUUAUGUCUUGGGCUGCACGCAUGCUAUAAUGGCUGGUACAAACGGCUGCAAAUACCGCAAGGUGGAGCGAAUCCGAGAAAGCCAGUCUCAGUUCGGAUUGGGGUCUGCAACUCGACCCCAUGAAGUCGGAGUUGUCUAGUAUCGUAGAUCAGCAACGCUAGCGGUGUAUACGUUCCCGGGGCUUGUACACACCGCCCGUCACAUCACGAAA